CUCACUCCUCAGGCAAUUGUGCGCUGGAUGUUGCAAACAGAUCCCGGGGUCGCGCAGCGAAUAAUCCAGACUCCUCGCACUCUGACAAGUCUGGAAGAUUAGCUGUGCUUCCCCGUGUCUCUGUGCAACAAAGACGAGGCUGCGGAAGUUUCCUGACUAGUGAGUGACUUAAUAAUGGACAUCCGGAGCUACCUUGACAACUCUCGUGUACACCAUGUACGCCACAUCUCGGAUGUUUCUUUUAAAUGUAUGCUUUGUCAACUGUU
This is a long non-coding RNA of Ornithodoros turicata, 266 nucleotides long. RefSeq lists it as uncharacterized. The record is from RefSeq and is a predicted model, not a curated record. NCBI's taxonomy places the organism in Eukaryota, Metazoa, Arthropoda, Arachnida, Ixodida, Argasidae. The transcript has 2 exons.